ACUUUCAGAAAUUAUCGCAACCAGUCGGGGCCAUUAACUCAGCCUCUUUCCAGUACCGCUAAUCUUGACUGGUGAACAAACGCGCUUCUCUAAAUACCCUCUUCCAUUGCAAUCCCUCUCUCGCUUCUGCCGCUUAUUAGCCGACGACACUGCUCAAGGAAGAUCAAGAACAACCGUGCUCUGUUUUUUCUGUUUACCCCUUUCUUGCUUCCCUGCUCAACUAAGAUCAAGAACAAACGUGCUCGGGCUUCUUCCUGUCUUGUGUUUCUAAUCAAGCCGAUCCAUCAUGUCGUUGUGAGUAAUACAGUAGUUGAAGAUGAAUAAGGAUAACUCUGGGAAAGUACAACUGAUUGCGCGCUCGAUCUCUUCAAAUGUAAGCGUGUCUCUAUUAUUGCAAUCCUGGUUGCAGUGGGUAAUGAAGUUCUUUGCCAACUCUAACAUUCCUAAGCCAUUGUCUUCAUAUGUUUUCUUUUCAUCCUCUCUCUUUUUGAUCACCCUUUUGAAGGCAUUUCUCAUUCUCACCGGCAAACAAUCGAUUCUAUCUUUUAUCUUAUCAUGUCUGUGAGCAUUAGCACAAGAUGCCUUGAAACUGUCUAGCCCAUCUUUUUCUUCAAUCAAAAACAACCAGAAAUGGUAGAUUCUCAUUAACCUUUGCCUCAUAAAUUGAACAAAUGGAUGUUCUCCCAUAUGUUUGAGAUAUUUCCUGCAUUGAACAGUAAAGUAUCAAAGUCUACUUCUCUGACAUAUCUAUGCUAUAUGCAUAUCAUACUUACUGAUAUACUUGUAUAUAUAUACUGCAUACUUAAUGACAUAGCCGUGAUAAGUUUCAAAAAUGAUGCUCCAAAACAUAAACAUGUUGUUCAUUAUAGUUUUAGAGGAAGUAAAGCUAUUUUCAUUGUUAUGGCUUUUAUCAAGCUCUAUGGUAUGUAUAGCCACAUACAUGAUUGUUGGCUAAUUGAGGCUUGGUGAGUAAAACACAAUUUUUGGAACACUCGAAUUGAUGGAUAUUGUACAUUAAAGUUUUGCCUUUAUCCAUACUGGUAUUGAGUAUAUAGGAUUGGUUGUAAAUAAAGAUAUUUUACUUUUGGUGUUGUUUCCA
This is an RNA transcript of Fragaria vesca subsp. vesca, 1099 nucleotides long. RefSeq lists it as uncharacterized. Lineage: Eukaryota; Viridiplantae; Streptophyta; Magnoliopsida; Rosales; Rosaceae. The transcript is spliced from 2 exons. The record is from RefSeq and is a predicted model, not a curated record.